CUACCGGGGUUUCUAAUCCUGUUCGCUCCCCACACUUUCGUACCUCAGCGUCAGACGCGAUCCAGUCAGUCGCCUUCGCCACCGGUGUUCCUCCUGAUCUCUACGGAUUUCACCCCUACACCAGGAAUUCCACUGACCCCUCUCGCUCUCAAGCGCGCCAGUUUUCGGUGACCCUCCGGGGUUGAGCCCCGGGCUUUCACACCGAACUUGACGCGCCGCCUGCGUACGCUUUACGCCCAAUGAUUCCGAGCAACGUUUGCGCCCUCCGUAUUACCGCGGCUGCUGGCAC
RNAcentral lists this ribosomal RNA (289 nucleotides) under uncultured bacterium. RNAcentral describes it as "partial 16S ribosomal RNA". The record is from RNAcentral.